Molecule: ribosomal RNA, 443 nt
Filed under: Escherichia coli
Lineage: Bacteria; Pseudomonadati; Pseudomonadota; Gammaproteobacteria; Enterobacterales; Enterobacteriaceae
Description: bacterial SSU rRNA
Rfam family: Bacterial small subunit ribosomal RNA
Source: RNAcentral
AAAUUGAAGAGUUUGAUCAUGGCUCAGAUUGAACGCUGGCGGCAGGCCUAACACAUGCAAGUCGAACGGUAACAGGAAGCAGCUUGCUGCUUUGCUGACGAGUGGCGGACGGGUGAGUAAUGUCUGGGAAACUGCCUGAUGGAGGGGGAUAACUACUGGAAACGGUAGCUAAUACCGCAUAACGUCGCAAGACCAAAGAGGGGGACCUUCGGGCCUCUUGCCAUCGGAUGUGCCCAGAUGGGAUUAGCUUGUUGGUGGGGUAACGGCUCACCAAGGCGACGAUCCCUAGCUGGUCUGAGAGGAUGACCAGCCACACUGGAACUGAGACACGGUCCAGACUCCUACGGGAGGCAGCAGUGGGGAAUAUUGCACAAUGGGCGCAAGCCUGAUGCAGCCAUGCCGCGUGUAUGAAGAAGGCCUUCGGGUUGUAAAGUACUUUCAGC